Molecule: long non-coding RNA, 15694 nt
Filed under: Triticum aestivum (bread wheat)
Lineage: Eukaryota; Viridiplantae; Streptophyta; Magnoliopsida; Poales; Poaceae
Description: long non-coding RNA (TAES_LNC008362)
Source: RNAcentral
ACAAAACUAGCUUAGACUGGAUUUAAUUACUAUUGUGCUCAAGCUACAGUAUGGAGCUUUAAUUAGCACUUACUUACUCUCCUUGCUAUGCUUGCAGAGGUAGAGGGAUCAUGCCUCAUAUGCAGAGUUACGUAUACUUAAGAAUCAGGUGCAAUGUCAUCAUAUUUUUAUUUACUUUCUACCACUUCUUCUCCGAGUGAAAAUUUAGUGUAUAUAUGUAGAACAAUGACAUCUAUGCUGAUAUGUGUAUGCAACUCUCCUUAUUUUGUUAGUUUCUACAAGGGUCUGUCACAAUUUUGUUUUAUUUGUCUGCGGUGAUUUAGUUCCCACUGCUUGUAAUUUGUGGUAGAGAAAUUGAGAGGGAGGCCUCACUGUGAGAGUUUGCAGUUUGUGUGUCGAUGUUGCUCGUGGUGGUGAAUGGAAAGUCGGCCGUGUAGCCGCCUGUUGCGUAGUUGUGUGCCGAUGUUACUCGCGGUGGUGAAUCGGAAGGCCGGCCGUGUAGCCGCUUGUUGCGUACCAUGGUGGCAGUGGUCAGCCCUGUGAGGAGGAAAGAGAAGAAUGGCAUGUAGAUCAGUGGGUAGCAAGAGUUUCGCGCUGAUCACGUGCCCAAGCACAGGCACGCGAAGAAACACGACAAUAAGAUUGAUCAUACGAUUGCGGCUAAAAGUGUAAGUGGUCAGGGGGAGGAGGAUUGAGGAGAGAUGGCAUGGAACUGACUAAAGUAAAUGGGAGGGAACCGGUGAGUGGGGGAGGGAUGCAUCGGUGAUGGAAGAUGGGACUGGUUGCUGAAUUGCUAGCUAGGAGAGCAAAUCGGCUAGUUGUGGUUCAUGAAAAUUUGUGUUCGCUCCGUAGAAAAGCACGAGCAUAGAAUAUGUAUACCCGUUGCAACGCACGGGCUCUUUUCCUAGUACUAAUCUUAUGGUAGGUGAUGGCACCACAUAAGGAAAAGUAUAAGUAGAAAAUUUUAUUAGAGACUGACAAACAUAACAUUAGUCAAUGAUGCAACUCAUGAAAGAAUUAAUAAGGGAAGAGAAGAUUCACAUAUAAAUAUACUAUCCUAGAAAUCUUUUGUGAUUCUGAGCCCCCAUCAAAAUAUUAUAUGCCAAAAUUAUUGACGUUGGACAAGGAAGACAACUUAAUGAUUUAUGUUUGUUCAUAUUCACAUAGAAGUUAUAUUGUCAUAGAUCCUUUAACAUGUGGUGCUUGCCCCCUAUCUUUGCUAGCCAAAAAUUCCGCACUAAGUAUAGAUACUACUUGUGCAUCCAAAUCCCUUUAAACCCAAAUCUUAUUUUCAAAUGUCCACCAUACCUACCUAGGGAUUGAGCAAGAUCCCUCAAGUAAGUUGUCAUCAGUGCAAAAAGGCAAUAAAAAUUACUUCUAAAUGUGUGAGAUUAUUUAGUGUAAGAGAAAAUUGAGCGUUGCACGAACUUGCGAUGGUGAAGAAUAAAAGCGACGGACUGCAUAAUAAAGGUCGCUAUCACAAGGGGCAAUGCAACGUGACGUUCUUUUGCACUAAGGGGUUGAGCAUACAAACAAAUAAGCGAAUGGCAACCUCUGCUUACCUCUGUGAAGGGCCUAUCUUUUACUUUCAUGUAUUUAAUUUUAUGCAAAGAGUCAAAGUUUUCUCUCUAUUCCUUUUUAUUUUCUCCUUUUGCAAGCAUCAUGUGGUGAGGAAAGAUCUAGGCACAUAUGUCCAGUUGAAUAUGGGUAGCAUGAGUUAUGAUUAUUGACAUCACCCUUGAGGUGAAUACGUUGGGAGGCGAAACUAUAAGCCCCCGUCUUCUUAUGUGUCCUGUUGAAACGUUUCGCUCAUAUGUAUGCGGUGAGUGUUAGCAAUCAGAGAAGACUAUAUGAUGGUUGAGUAUGUGGACUUGCCUAAAGGCUCCGAUACAUGACCCUUCCUGAAAAGAUGAUGAAUUGUAGUUGCAAAGUUGACUGAGAACAUAGUUUGUUGGUUUUAAAUAGAGUUUUUGGUUUAUACUUUGAUUGUGUGAUGAACUGUUACUUAUUCAUGAGAAGUUUAUGAUACAAGUGUUGGAAAUAUGCCCUAGAGGCAAUAAUAAAUGGUUAUUAUUAUAUUUCUUUGUUCAUGGUAAUUGUCUAUUAUUCAUGCUAUAAUUGUAUUGUCCGGAAAUCGUAAUACAUGUGUGAAUACAUAGACCACAACCUGUCCCUAGUAAGCCUCUAGUUGACUAGCUCGUUGAUCAACAGAUAGUCAUGGUUUCCUGACUAUGGACAUUGGAUGUCAUUGAUAACGGGAUCACAUCAUUAGGAGAAUGAUGUGAUGGACAAGACCCAACUUAAGCAUAGCAUAAAAGAUCGUGUAGUUUCGUUUGCUAGAGCUUUUCCAAUGUCAAGUAUCUUUUCCUUAGACCAUGAGAUCGUGCAACUCCCGGAUACCGUAGGAGUGCUUUGGGUGUGCCAAACGUCACAACGUAACUGGGUGACUAUAAAGGUGCAUUACGGGUAUCUCCGAAAGUGUCUGUUGGGUUGGCACGGAUCGAGACUGGGAUUUGUCACUCCGUGUAAACGGAGAGGUAUCUCUGGGCCCACUCGGUAAUGCAUCAUCAUAAUGAGCUCAAUGUGACUAAAGGCGUUAGUCACGGGAUCAUGCAUUGCGGUACGAGUAAAGAGACUUGCCGGUAACGAGAUUGAACUAGGUAUUGGGAUACCGACGAUCGAAUCUCGGGCAAGUAACAUACCGAUUGACAAAGGGAAUUGCAUACGGAUUGAUUGAAUCCUCGACACCGUGGUUCAUCCGAUGAGAUCAUCGUGGAGCAUGUGGGAGCCAACAUGGGUAUCCAGAUCCCGCUGUUGGUUAUUGACCGGAGAGGCGUCUCGGUCAUGUCUGCAUGUCUCCCGAACCCGUAGGGUCUACACACUUAAGGUCCGGUGACGCUAGGGUUGUAGAGAUAUAUGUAUGCGGAAACCCGAAAGUUGUUCGGAGUCCCAGAUGAGAUCCCGGACGUCACGAGAGGUUCCGGAAUGGUCCGGAGGUAAAGAUUUAUAUAUGGGAAGUCUUAUUUUGGUCGCCGGAAAAGUUUCGCGCUUUAUCGGUAUUGUACCGGGAGUGCCGAAAGGGGUCCGGGGGUCCACCAAGGGGGUCCACCAGCCCCGGGGGGCCACAUGGGCUGUAAGGGGUGCGCCUUGGCCUAUAUGGGCCAAGGGCACCAGCCCCAAGAGGCCCAUGCGCAAGAGAUAAGAAAGAAGGGAGAGUCCUAAAGGGGGAAGGCACCUCCGAGGUGCCUUGGGGGGGAAGGACUCCCCCCUGGCCGCACCCUUCCUUGGAGGAAGGGGCAAGGCUGCGCCCCCCCCCCUCUCCCUUGGCCCUAUAUAUAGUGGGGGGAAGGGAGGGCAGCAACAUCUAAGCCUUGGGCGCCUCCCUCCUCCCCUGCAACACCUCUCUCUCUCUCGCAGAAGCUUGCGAAGCCCUGCCGGAGAGCUGCUACAUCCACCACCACGCCGUCGUGCUGUUGGAUCUCCAUCAACCUCUCCUUCCCCCUUGCUGGAUCAAGAAGGAGGAGACGUCGCUGCACCGUACGUGUGUUGAACGCGGAGGUGCCGUACGUUCGGCACUCGGUCAUCGGUGAUUUGGAUCACGGCGAGUACGACUCCGUCAUCCACGUUCAUUGGAACGCUUCCGCUCGCGAUCUACAAGGGUAUGUAGAUCCACUCCUUUCCCUUCGUUGCUAGUAGACUCCAUAGAUGCAUCUUGGUGAGCGUAGGAAAAUUUUAAAUUAUGCUACGAUUCCCUACAGUGGCAUCAUGAGCCAGGUCUAUGCGUAGUUACUAUGCACGAGUAGAACACAAAGUAGUUGUGGGCGUUGAGUUUGCCAAUUCUUCUUGCCGCUACUAGUCUUUUCUUGUUUCGGCGGCAUUGUAGGAUGAAGCGGCCCGGACCGACCUUACACGUACUCUUACGUGAGACAGGUUCCACCGACUGACAUGCACUAGUUGCAUAAGGUGGCUAGCGGGUGUCUGUCUCUCCUACUUUAGUCGGAACAGAUUCGAUGAAAAGGGUCCUUAUGAAGGGUAAAUAGAAAUUGGCAAAUCACGUUGUGGUCAUACGUAGGUAAGAAACGUUCUUGCUAGAAACCUACAAACCACGUAAAAACUUGCAACAACAAUUAGAGGACGUCUAACUUGUUUUUGCAGCAAGUGCUAUGUGAUGUGAUAUGGCCAGAAGAUGUGAUGAAUGAUAUAUAUGAUGUAUGAGAUUGAUCAUAUUCUUGUAAUAGGAAUCACGACUUGCAUGUCGAUGAGUAUGACAACCGGCAGGAGCCAUAGGAGUUGUCUUUAUUAUUUUGUAUGACCUGCGUGUCAUUGAAUAACGCCAUGUAAAUUACUUUACUUUGUUGCUAAACGCGUUAGCCAUAGAAGUAGAAGUAAUCUUUGGCGUGACGACUUCAUGAAGACACAAUGAUGGAGAUCAUGAUGAUAGAGAUCAUGGUGUCAUGCCGGUGACAAAGAUGAUCAUGGUGCCCCGAAGAUGGAGAUCAAAGGAGCAUAAUGAUAUUGGCCAUAUCAUGUCACUAUUUGAUUGCAUGUGAUGUUUAUCAUGUUUUGCAUCUUAUUUGCUUAGUACGACGGUAGUAAGUAAGAUGAUCCCUUAUAAUAAUUUCAAGAAAGUGUUCACCCUAACUGUGCACCGUUGCGAAGGUUCGUCGUUUCGAAGCACCACGUGAUGAUCGGGUGUGAUAGAUUCUUACGUUCGAAUACAACGGGUGUUGACGAGCCUAGCAUGUACAGACAUGGCCUCGGAACACACGCAAUACACUUAGGUUGACUUGACGAGCCUAGCAUGUACAGACAUGGCCUUGGAAUACGGAGGACCGAAAGGUCGAGCAUGAGUCGUAUAGAAGAUACGAUCAACAUGGAGAUGUUCACCGAUCUUGAAUAGUCCGUCUCACGUGAUGAUCGGACACGGCCUAGUUAAACUCGGAUCAUGUUUCACUUAGAUGACCAGAGGGAUGUCUAUCUGAGUGGGAGUUCAUAAUCAGAUGAACUUCAUUAUCAUGAACAUAGUCAAAUAGGUAUUUGCAAAUUAUGUCAUAGCUUGCGCUUUAGUUCUACUGGUUAAGAUAUGUUCCUAGAGAAAAUUUAGUUGAAAGUUGGUAGUAGCAAUUAUGCGGACUAGGUCCGUAAACUGAGGAUUGUCCUCAUUGCUACACAGAAGGCUUAUGUCCUUAAUGCACCGCUCGGUGUGCUGAACCUCAGCGUCGUCUGUAGAUGUUACGAAACAUCUGACAUACACGUUUUGAUGACUACGUGAUAGUUCGGUGCAGUUUAGAAUUGUGGCACCAAAGACGUUGUUGAAACAUCGCAAAACAUGUGAGAUGUUCCGAAGACUGAAAUUGGGAUUUCAGACUAGUGCCCACGUCAAGAGGUAUGAGACCUCUGACAAGUUUCUUAAGCCAGCAAACUAAGGGAGAAAAGCUCAAUCGUUGAGCGUGUGCUCAGAUUGUCUGAGUGCCACAAUCGCUUGAAUCGAGUGGGAGUUAAUCUCCCAGAUGAGAUAGUGAUAGUUCUCCAUAGUCACUGCCACCAAGCUAGUAGAGCUUCGUGAUGAACUAUAACAUAUCAAGGAUAAUUAUGAUGAUCCUUGAGCUAUUCGCGAUGCUUGACACCGCGAGAGUAGAAAUCAAGAAGGAGCAUCAAUUGUUGAUGGUUAGUAAAAUCACUAGUUUAAGAAGGGCAAGGGCAAAAGGGAUACUUCAUGAAACAGCAAGUCGUUUGCUGCUCUAGUGAAGAAUCCCAAGGUUGAACCCAAACCCGAGACUAAGUGCUUCUGUAAUGAGAGGAACGGUCACUGAAGCAGUACUACCCUAGAUACUUGGUAGAUGAGAAGGCAGGCAAGGUCGACAGAAGUAUAUUGGAUAUACGUUAUAUGAAUGUGUACUUUACUAGUACUCCUAGCAGCACCAGGGUAUUAGAUACUGGUUCGGUUGCUAAGCGUUAGUAACUCGAAAUAAAAGCUGCGGAAUAAAUGGAGACUAGCUAAAGGUGAGAUGACGAUAUGUGUUGGAAGUGUUUCCAAGGUUGAUGUGAUCAAGCAUCGCAUGCUCCCUCUACCAUCGAGAUUUGGUGUUUGCGGUGAACAUGAUUGGAUUAUGUUUACCGCAAAACGGUUAUUCAUUUAAGGAGAAUAAUGGUUACUCUGUUUAUUUGAAUAAUACCUUCAAUGGUCUUGCACCUAAAAUGAAUCUCGAUCGUAGUGAUACACAUGUUCGUGCCAAAAGAUAUAAAAUAGUAAUGAUAGUACCACAUACUUGUGGCACUGCAACUUGAGUCAUAUUGGUAUAGAACGCAUGAAGAAGCUCCGUGUAGAUGGAUCUUUGGACUCACUCGUUUUUGAAAAGAUUGAGACAUGCGAACCAUGUCUAUUGGUAUAUAUGCAUGAAGAAACUCCAUACAGAUGGAUCGUUUGGACUCACUUGAUUAUGAAUCUCUUAAGACAUGCAAAUCAUACCACGUGGGCAAAAUGACUGAAUGUCCUCGUUUUCAGUAAGAUGGAACAAGAGAGCAACUUAUUGGAAGUAAUACAUUUUGAUGUACACAGUCCAAUGAGUGCUGAGGCAUGCAGUGGAUAUCGUUAUGUUCUUACUUCACAGAUGAUUUGAGUAGAUGUUGAGUGUAUUUACUUGAUGAAACACAAGUCUGAAUUAUUGAAAGAUUCAAGUAAUUUCAGAGUGAAGUUGAAGAUCAUCGUGACAAGAGGAUAAAAUGUCUGUGAUAUGAUCAUAGAGAUGAGUAUCUGAGUUACGAGUUUGGCACACAAUUGAGACAUUGUGGAAAGUGUUUCACAAUUAAUACCGCCUGGAACACCAUAGUGUGAUGGUGUGUCCGAACAUCAUAACUGCACCCUAUUGGAUAUGGUGCAUACCAUGAUGUUUCUUAUCAAAUUACCACUAUCGUUUAUGGGUUAGGCAUUAGAGACAACCGCAUUCACUUUAAAAGGGGCACCACGCAAUUCCGUUGAGACGACACCGUUUAUAGAAACCUAAGUUGUCGUUUCUUAAAAGUUUGGGGCUGCGAUGCUUAUGUGAAAAAGUUUCAGGCUGAUAAGCUCGAACCCAAAGCGGAUAAAUGCAUCUUCAUAGAAUACCCAAAAACAGUUGGGUAUACCUCCUAUUUCAGAUCUGGAAGCAAAAGUAAUUGCUUCUAGAAAUGAGUCCUUUCUCGAGGAAAAGUUUCUCUCGAAAGAAUUGAGUGGGAGGAUGGUGGAGACUUGAUAAGGUUAUUGAACCGUCGCUUCAACUAGUGUGUAGCAGGGCACAUGAAGUUGUCCCUGUGGCACCUACACCAAUUGAAGUGGAAGCUUAUGAUAGUGAUCAUGAAACUUCGGAUCAAGUCACUACCAAACCUCGUAGGACGACGAGGAUGCGCACUACUUCAGAGUAAUGCGUGAUCCUGUCUUGGAAGUCAUGUUGCUAGACAACAAUGAACCUACGAGCUGUGGACAAGCGAUGGUGGGCCCAUAUUCCGACGAAUGGCUCGAGGCCAUGAAAUCCGAGAUAGAAUCCAUGUAUCAGAACAAAGCAUGGACUUUGGUGAACUUGCCCGAUGAUCGGCAAGCCAUUGAGAUAAAUGGAUCUUUAAGAAGAAGACGGACAUGGACGGUAAUGUUACCGUCUAUGAAGCUCGACUUGUGGCAAAGAGUAUUUUCACAAGUUCAAGGAGUUGACUACGAUGAGUUUUUCUCAUCCGUAGCGAUGCUUAGGUCCGUCGGAAUCAUGUUAGCAUUAGCUACAUUUAUGAAAUCUGGCAGAUGGAUGUCAAAACAAGUUUCCUUACCAGUUUUCGUAAGGAAAGGUUGUAUGUGAUACAAUCAGAAAGGUUUUGUCGAUCCUAAGGAUGCUAAAAGGUAUGCUAGCUCCAGCGAUCCUUCCAUGGAUUAGAGCAAGCAUCUCGGAGUCAGAAUAUACGCUUUGAUGGAGUGAUCAAAGUUUUUGGGUUUAUACAAAGUUUGUUAGAAACUUGUAUUUACAAUAAAGUGAGUGGGAGCGCUACAACAUUUCUGAUAAGUAUAUGUGAAUGACAUAUUGUUGAUCCGAAAUGAUGUAAAAUUUCUGGAAAGCAUAAAGGGUUGUUUGAAAGGAGUUUUUCAAAGGAAGACCUGGAUAAAGCUACUUACAUAUUGGGCAUCAAGAUCCAUAGAGAUAGAUCAAGACGCCUGAUGAUACUUUCAAAAGACAGCACACCUUAACAUGAUUUUGAAAGAGUUCAAAAUAGAUCAGCAAACAAGGAGUUCUUGGCUGUGUUACAAGGUGUGAGUAUUGAGUGAGACUCAAGACCUGACCACAGCAGAAGAUAGAGAAAGGACGAAGGUCGUCCCCUAUGCUUUAGACGUAGGCUCUAUAGUAUGCUAUGCUGUGUACCGCACAUGUAGUGUGCGUUGCCAUGAGUUGGUCAAGGGGGUACAAUGGUGAUCCGGAAAGGAUCUCAUGACAGCGGUCGAACUUAUCCUUAGUACCUAGUGGAUUAAGGAAUUUUUCUCGAUUAUGGAGGUGGAAAGGAGUUCGUCGUAAAGGGUUACGUCGAUGCGAACUUUGACACUAAUCCGGAUAACUCUGUGUAGUAAACCGGAUUCGUAUAGUAGAGCAAUUAUUUGAAAUGGCUCCAAAUAGCGCAUGGUAGCAUCCACAAGAUGACAUAGAUAUUCGUAAAGCACACGGUUCUGAAAGGUUCAGACCCGUUGACUAAUAACCUCUCUCACAAGCAUAACAUGAUCAAACCAGAACACAUUGAGUGUUAAUCACAUAGUGAUGUGAACUAGAUUGUUGACUCUAGUAAACUCUUUAGAUGUUGGUCACAUGGUGAUGUGACCAGUGAAUGUUAAUCACAUGGUGAUGUGAACUAGAUUAUUGACUCUAGUGCAAGUGGGAGACUGUUGGAAAUAUGCCCUAGAGGCAAUAAUAAAUGGUUAUUAUUAUAUUUCUUUGUUCAUGGUAAUUGUCUAUUAUUCAUGCUAUAAUUGUAUUGUCCGGAAAUCGUAAUACAUGUGUGAAUACAUAGACCACAACCUGUCCCUAGUAAGCCUCUAGUUGACUAGCUCGUUGAUCAACAGAUAGUCAUGGUUUCCUAACUAUGGACAUUGGAUGUCAUUGAUAACGGGAUCACAUCAUUAGGAGAAUGAUGUGAUGGACAAGACCCAACUUAAGCAUAGCAUAAAAGAUCGUGUAGUUUCGUUUGCUAGAGCUUUUCCAAUGUCAAGUAUCUUUUCCUUAGACCAUGAGAUCGUGCAACUCCCGGAUACCGUAGGAGUGCUUUGGGUGUGCCAAACGUCACAACGUAACUGGGUGACUAUAAAGGUGCAUUACGGGUAUCUCCGAAAGUGUCUGUUGGGUUGGCACGGAUCGAGACUGGGAUUUGUCACUCCGUGUGACGGAGAGGUAUCUCUGGGCCCACUCGGUAAUGCAUCAUCAUAAUGAGCUCAAUGUGACUAAGGCGUUAGUCACGGGAUCAUGCAUUGCGGUACGAGUAAAGAGACUUGCCGGUAACGAGAUUGAACAAGGUAUUGGGAUACCGACGAUCGAAUCUCGGGCAAGUAACAUACCGAUUGCCAAAGGGAAUAGCAUACGGAUUGAUUGAAUCCUCGACACCGUGGUUCAUCCGAUGAUAUCAUCGUGGAACAUGUGGGAGCCAACAUGGGUAUCCAGAUCCCGCUGUUGGUUAUUGACCGGAGAGGCGUCUCGGUCAUCUCUGCAUGUCUCCCGAACCCGUAGGGUCUACACACUUAAGGUCCGGUGACGCUAGGGUUGUAGAGAUAUAUGUAUGCGGAAACCCGAAAUUUGUUCGGAGUCCCGGAUGAGAUCCCGGACGUCACGAGAGGUUCCGGAAUGGUCCGGAGGUAAAGAUUUAUAUAUGGGAAGUCUUAUUUUGGUCGCCGGAAAAGUUUCGCACUUUAUCGGUAUUGUACCGGGAGUGCCGAAAGGGGUCCGGGGGUCCACCAAGGGGGCCCACCAGCCCCGGGGGGCCACAUGGGCUGUAAGGGGUGCGCCUUGGCCUAUAUGGGCCAAGGGCACCAGCCCCAAGAGGCCCAUGCGCAAGAGAUAAGAAAAAAGGGAGAGUCCUAAAGGGGGAAGGCACCUCCGAGGUGCCUUGGGGGGAAAGGACUCCCCCCUGGCCACACCCUUCCUUGGAGGAAGGGGCAAGGCUGCGCCCCCCCCUCUCCCUUGGCCCUAUAUAUAGUGGGGGGAAGGGAGGGCAGCAACAUCUAAGCCUUGGGCGCCUCCCUCCUCCCCUGCAACACCUCUCUCUUGUUGGAAAUAUGCCCUAGAGGCAAUAAUAAAUGGUUAUUAUUAUAUUUCUGUGUUCAUGAUAAUAGUCUAUUAUUCGUGCUAUAAUUGUAUUGUCCGGAAAUCAUAAUACAUGUGUGAAUACAUAGACCACAACCUGUCCCUAGUAAGCCUCUAGUUGACUAGCUCGUUGGUCAACAGAUAGUCAUGGUUUCCUGACUAUGGACAUUGGAUGUCAUUGAUAACGGGAUCACAUCAUUAGGAGAAUGAUGUGAUGGACAAGACCCAACUUAAGCAUAGCAUAAAAGAUCGUGUAGUUUCGUUUGCUAGAGCUUUUCCAAUGUCAAGUAUUUUUUCCUUAGACCAUGAGAUCGUGCAACUCCCGGAUACCGUAGGAGUGCUUUGGGUGUGCCAAACGUCACAACGUAACUGGGUGACUAUAAAGGUGCAUUACGGGUAUCUCCGAAAGUGUCUGUUGGGUUGGCACGGAUCGAGACUGGGAUUUGUCACUCCGUGUGACGGAGAGGUAUCUCUGGGCCCACUCGGUAAUGCAUCAUCAUAAUGAGCUCAAUGUGACUAAGGCGUUAGUCACGGGAUCAUGCAUUGCGGUACGAGUAAAGAGACUUGCCGGUAACGAGAUUGAACAAGGUAUUGGGAUACCGACGAUCGAAUCUCGGGCAAGUAACAUACCGAUUGACAAAGGGAAUUGCAUACGGAUUGAUUGAAUCCUCGACACCGUGGUUCAUCCGAUGAUAUCAUCGUGGAACAUGUGGGAGCCAACAUGGGUAUCCAGAUCCCGCUGUUGGUUAUUAACCGGAGAGGCUUCUCGGUCAUGUCUGCAUGUCUCCCGAACCCGUAGGGUCUACACACUUAAGGUCCGGUGACGCUAGGGUUGUAGAGAUAUAUGUAUGCGGAAACCCGAAGGUUGUUCGGAGUCCCGGAUGAGAUCCCGGACGUCACGAGAGGUUCCGGAAUGGUCCGGAGGUAAAGAUUUAUAUAUGGGAAGUCUUAUUUUGGUCGCCGGAAAAGUUUCGCGCUUUAUCGGUAUUGUACCGGGAGUGCCGAAAGGGGUCCGGGGGUCCACCAAGGGGGUCCACCAGCCCCCGGGGGCCACAUGGGCUGUAAGGGGUGCGCCUUGGCCUAUAUGGGCCAAGGGCACCAGCCCCAAGAGGCCCAUGCGCAAGAGAUAAGAAAGAAGGGAGAGUCCUAAAGGGGGAAGGCACCUCCGAGGUGCCUUGGGGGGGAAGGACUCCCCCCUGGCCGCACCCUUCCUUGGAGGAAGGGGCAAGGCUGCGCCCCCCCCCCUCUCCCUUGGCCCUAUAUAUAGUGGGGGGAAGGGAGGGCAGCAACAUCUAAGCCUUGGGCGCCUCCCUCCUCCCCUGCAACACCUCUCUCUCUCUCUCGCAGAAGCUUGCGAAGCCCUGCCGGAGAGCCGCUACAUCCACCACCACGCCGUCGUGCUGUUGGAUCUCCAUCAACCUCUCCUUCCCCCUUGCUGGAUCAAGAAGGAGGAGACGUCGCUGCACGGUACGUGUGUUGAACGCGGAGGUGCCGUACGUUCGGCACUCGGUCAUCGGUGAUUUGGAUCACGGCGAGUACGACUCCGUCAUCCACGUUCAUUGGAACGCUUCCGCUCGCGAUCUACAAGGGUAUGUAGAUCCACUCCUUUCCCUUCGUUGCUAGUAGACUCCAUAGAUGCAUCUUGGUGAGCGUAGGAAAAUUUUAAAUUAUGCUACGAUUCCCUACAACAAGUUCUAUGAUAAAAGCCUUAUGUUUAAUUUUGUUGCUGUUAUAAUAAUCUACAUGAUGCUUCUAUGUCCGUAUUUUGUUUUUAUCGAGACCUCUCUCUCUAAGCAUGUGGACAUGUUUUACGAUUUCGGUUUUCGCUUGAGGACAAGCGAGGUCUAAGCUUGGGGGAGUUGAUACGUCCAUUUUGCAUCAUGUUUUCCUACUGUUAUUUAUGAUGUUUUUAUCCAUAAUAAUGCUUUUUGGAGUAAUUCUAAUGCCUUUUCUUUCAUAAUAUGCAAGGUAUACACAAAGAGGGAGAAUUCCGGUAGCUGGAAAUCUGGACCUGGAAAAACUACGUUAGGUCACCUAUUCUGCACAACUCCAAACAAGCUGAAACUUCAUGGAGAUUUUUUAUUGAAUAUUUGAAAAAUAUUGGAGCAAAUAACUACCAGAGGGGGCCCACCAGGUGGGCACAACCCACCUGGGCGCGCCAGGGAGCCCAGGCGCGCCCUGGUGGGUUGUGCUCACCCAGGCCCACCUCCGGUGCCCAUCUUCUAGUAUAUAAGUCAUUUUGGCCUAGAAAAAAAUUAGGAGAGGACUUUCGGGACGGAGCGCCGCCGUCUCGAGGCAGAACUUGGGUAGGAGCACUUUUGCCCUCCGGUGGAGCGAUUCCGCCGGGGGAACUUCCCUCCCGGAGGGGGAAAUCAUCGUCCUCAUCAUCACCAACAACUCUCCCAUCUUGGGGAGGGCAAUCUCCAUCAACAUCUUCAACAGCACCAUCUCAUCUCAAACCCUAGUUCAUCUCUUGUGUUCAAUCUUGUUACCGGACCUAUAGAUUGGUGCUUGUGGGUGACUAGUAGUGAUGAUUACAUCUUGUAGUUGGUUACUAUAUGGUUUAUUUGAUGAAAGAUUAUAUGUUCAGAUCCAAUAUGCUAUUUAAUACCCCUCUGAUCUUGAGCAUUAUUAUCAUUUGUGAGUAGUUAUUUUUGUUCUUGAGGUCAUGGGAGAAAUCGUGUUGCAAGUAAUCAUGUGAACUUGAUAUGUGUUCGAUAUUUUGAUAGUAUGUAUGUUGUGAUUCCUUUAGUGGUGUCAUGUGAACAUUGACUACAUGACACUUCACCAUAUUUGGGCCUAGGGAAAUGCAUUGUGGAGUAGCAAUUAAAUGAUGGGAUGCGAGAGUGACAGAAGCUUAAACCCCAGUUUAUGCGCUAUUCCGUAAGGGACCGAUUGGAUCCAAAAGUUUAAUGCUACGGUUAGAAUUUAUUCUUAAUACUUUUCUCGUAGUUGUGGAUGCUUGCGGGAGGGUUAAUCAUAAGUAGGAGGUUUGUUCAUGUAAGAACAACACCUAAGCACCGGUCCACCCACAUAUCAAAUUAUCAAAGUAGCGAACACAAAUCAAACCAACAUGGUGAAAGUGACUAGAUAAAAAUCCCGUGUACCCUCAAGAACUCUUUGCUUAUUAUAAGAGACCGUUUUGGACUGUCCUUUGCAUCAAAAGGAUUGGGCUACCUUGCUGCACUUUAGUUACUAUUAUCGUUACUUGCUCGUUACAAAUUAUCUUACUAUCAAACUACUCUGCUACUUAUAAUUUCAGCACUUGCAGACAUUACUUUGCUGAAAACCACUUGUCAUUUCCUUCUGCUCCUCGUUGGGUUCGACACUCUUACUUACUGAAAAGAGCUACAAUUGAUCCCCUAUACUUGUGGGUCAUCACACUACAACUGGAUAUUAAAAACUCCCAUCUACGGCAUAACUGGAGGUACGGCUCUCGAAAGUUUAAACCCUACAUGGGUGUCCCAACUUAGCCCAUGACAAGCUCUCACGAUCAACGGAGGAAAAUCCUCCUCCUGGAACAACCCGAUCAAGCUCGAAAUCCCGGUUCACAAGACAUUUCGACAAUGGUAAAAUAAAAGCAGCAAGACUGCCCGAUGUGCCCACAAAUCCUGGUAGGAGCCGCACGUAUCUCGUUCUCAGGGCACACCGUAUGGGCCAGACAUCGAGUUGGCUGAGACCUUGGUUGCUCAGGGGGCGCCGGACAUUGCCCAGUUUGGACCAGCACCAACAGCACUGGCCCCCUGUAUUAUGUUGAAUUAAGAAUCCCCGGGAAUGCCACCCACUAUGCCAAUUAAUUAAUUAUAAGUAUUAUUAUGUUGGCAAAUGUUAAAACCAAUGUUGGGCCUUGCUAGAAGAGUUUUAUUCAAAGCGAACUGUCAAGGGGGCCCAUAAACCCCAACCGUGUUAGGAACGCAAAAUCAAAAAACAUAACACCGGUAUGAUGGAAACUAGGGCGGCAAGAGUGGAACAAAACACGAGGCAAAGGCCGAGCCUUCCACCCUUUACCAAGUACAUUGAUGCAUUAAUUUAAUAAGAGAUAUUGUGAUAUCCCAUGAUAUCCAUGUCCCAACAUGGAACAAACUGCAACUGCACCUGCAACUAGCAACGCUAUAAGAGGGGCUGAGCAAAGCGGUAACAUAGCCACACAACGGUUUGCUGGGAUGGUGAAAAGGGUUAGAGGCUAGCAUGGCAAAUGGGGAGGCAUGAUAAACAAGUGGUAGGUAGCGCGACAUAGCGAUAGUAUCGUGACAACUAGCAUAGCAAAGAUAGUAGUGAGAUCCAAGGUGACGAUCAUCUUACCUGAAAUCCCGCUAGGAAGAAGAUCGAAUACAUGAAGUAGACGAACCAACAUAGUCGAAUUGAUCCUCACAAUCGCAACGUAACCGGAACUAUCAAGGAGAAGCUCAACCGGAAAGAAGCAAACAUCAUGGUAACAACCAUCACAUAAACAUGGCAUGAUGCACAAUCAAGUAUGAUGCAUGUCCAGUUUAAUGAGUCAUGGCAUGGCAAAGUGCAACAAACAAUACUACAAGUUAAGCGAAGCUCAAUAUGCAACGAGUUGCAUAUUGAAGAAACACCAUAUUUAAUUAUUUAGUUUGCUCUCGUUAAAACUACUCAACAAUAUUAGAUGUUGGUUAACAUGACAAGAGGUGAAGCAUAAUUGAACUACCUAUCUAGGCAAGUUUAAGUGAGGCCGGAAACAACAAACAACAAUUCUGAUAAAUCCCCAUAUGUCAUUUAGCAAUUUGAUGCAAACAACAAUUUUAAAGAUUUUAAACGUUGUUAUCAUGAUGCGGAUGACAUAUGCAAGUUAUAUGCAAUUUUAAGAAAAUGUUGACAUGAGCAUGUUAUGAAGCAUUUGUCAUCGUGCCGGAAUGAAAGGGGUGCCACGGCAACGACAACGGAAAUGGUGCCACGGCAACAUUCCGAUGAUCCGACAACUCAGUGAGACACCGGUGCAAAAGAGCAAGUGUGUGGACGUGCGGAACAUGCUAGAGAUGGUGGGGUGAUCCCGGUUACCGGGUUCCCACGGGUCGACGCAUGGCAAACGAGAAAGACCGUGCAAUGACAACUCAGACACGGUGCAAACACGAGCAUCUCAUACAACACGCAUGCAUUCGUUCUCGGGCGUCGUCUCAGGUUAUACCUUUGAAGCGUGCAUUUUUAGGGCGGAACGAGUUCAAUGCGGUGUAGAUGGAAGUAGAUGUUCUCGCGAUGGUAGUCGUACAUGUCCGGAGAGGAACUUGGCGUUUCAGUCUGUAGUCGUUCGAGCGUCCGUGCGGUCUUGCCGGUGGCGUACUUGCGCUUGCAGUCCAAAUCCAAGGUCAUAGCCGUGUAUUUGAACUUGACGAAACGGGUCCCCGACGACGGUAGUGGUACAUCUCGUAGUGGAA